RNAcentral lists this ribosomal RNA (530 nucleotides) under uncultured bacterium. RNAcentral's name for it is "bacterial SSU rRNA". It matches the Rfam family "Bacterial small subunit ribosomal RNA", at positions 979 to 1509 of the family's 1533-position model. The record is from RNAcentral.
CCUUGACAUCCACGGAAUUUGGCAGAGAUGCCUUAGUGCCUUCGGGAACCGUGAGACAGGUGCUGCAUGGCUGUCGUCAGCUCGUGUUGUGAAAUGUUGGGUUAAGUCCCGCAACGAGCGCAACCCUUAUCCUUUGUUGCCAGCGAUUCGGUCGGGAACUCAAAGGAGACUGCCGGUGAUAAACCGGAGGAAGGUGGGGAUGACGUCAAGUCAUCAUGGCCCUUACGGCCAGGGCUACACACGUGCUACAAUGGCGCAUACAAAGAGAAGCGACCUCGCGAGAGCAAGCGGACCUCAUAAAGUGCGUCGUAGUCCGGAUUGGAGUCUGCAACUCGACUCCAUGAAGUCGGAAUCGCUAGUAAUCGUAGAUCAGAAUGCUACGGUGAAUACGUUCCCGGGCCUUGUACACACCGCCCGUCACACCAUGGGAGUGGGUUGCAAAAGAAGUAGGUAGCUUAACCUUCGGGAGGACGCUUACCACUUUGUGAUUCAUGACUGGGGUGAAGUCGUAACAAGGUAGGCGUACUACA